Mesocricetus auratus (golden hamster) is the source of this 1276-nucleotide long non-coding RNA. RefSeq lists it as uncharacterized. The transcript has 9 exons. The record is from RefSeq and is a predicted model, not a curated record. NCBI's taxonomy places the organism in Eukaryota, Metazoa, Chordata, Mammalia, Rodentia, Cricetidae.
GGCCGGUCUGACCCCGCCCACUCCAAGGCCCCGUCCUGCCCCCUUCCUAGCCACGCCCCCCGCCAGACACAGCCCAGCCCCUUCGCAGCUGUGCGCCCCGCCCACGGAGGAGGCCACGCCCUCUUCCGGUGGCUGUCUCGCUGGAGGCCGAAGAGGCGAGCCCGGGCGGGGCUUGGCCUGACGAGCCCGGGCGGGGCUUGGCCUGACAGGCCCGAGCCGACCCGCCCCUUCGCGGUUGCCUCAGGAAAGAGCCAGAUUUGUUUGUUUGUUUGCUCAUAGCUUUUCCUUCUCUCAACUCCUCGCUCAUCCAGAAAUAGAGACUUCAAGUACUGCUGUUAAUGAAGACUUGCCUCUGGAUUGACUGAUGUUCUCCAACUCUGGCCAAUAAGUUACAGUGCUUUGGUGCCUGGCAGUUUGUCAUCCCUGAAGGAACUUGGCAUGUCAGCAAGGUAGAGGGCAGAGAGGAUGCUGGGAAGAGUCACAAGGAAAUGCCAGGAGACACAGAGGAAGCAGGAUAUGCAAGAGGAGAGGUAACAAGCGAAGGCUUCCUCUGGUACAGGACCCAGCCUCAGACAGCAUAAGCAUAACUACCCCCACUCUGACACUAAUUACUAAACCCAGAGCCUCCAGGAUGCUAGCCAGGUGCUCUACCACUGAACUAUCUCUUGAGACCUUCUAGGAUAGUUUGCUGAAUCCUUUACCACCAUGGAUGCCAUAUUCUAGAAUUACUCUGGAUCUUCCUCUUGCUGUGUCAGAACACCAUCCCUGGAGAACCUCAGCACUGUCCUUCACCACCCAGACUACAGGCAAACCAGUUGUUGCGGGCACAGCAGAAAAUAGAGAAAGGGGUGUAAUUGCCCUGCCUGAAGGGAUUUCAGCAAAGAAAGAGACCUUAACAGAAGAGAAAGGUCUUACUUGUAGUACAACAGAGCAUAAGUGAGUUCAUGGUUCAAGGUGAAGUUCAAACAAGGCAGAUGGCUGUGGAUAAUGCUGUAACAUUAGGUUCUGACUGGCAAACAAUCUGACAAAUGAUAAGCACUUUCAGGUCUGUAGGAGCAUGUUACUCCCAAUACUCCAGGAUAUUGGUGGCCUGUGGGUUCUGCAUAGCAAGAUCUACAAGUAAACACCAGAGAGAAGAGAGAAGCUUGAUCAGAAACUACUACAUUGCCCUGAAACAUGAACAGGAAAUACUUCAUUUGUGUGAUGUCACUUGUGUCUCAGAAUUUGCAUAUGACAGCCUCUUGUAACAUUAAAACUGACACAAUUUCAAUGGAAA